AGUGGGGAAUCUUAGACAAUGGGCGCAAGCCUGAUCUAGCCAUGCCGCGUGUGUGAUGAAGGUCUUAGGAUCGUAAAGCACUUUCGCCAGGGAUGAUAAUGACAGUACCUGGUAAAGAAACCCCGGCUAACUCCGUGCCAGCAGCCGCGGUAAUACGGAGGGGGUUAGCGUUGUUCGGAAUUACUGGGCGUAAAGCGUACGUAGGCGGAUUGGAAAGUUGGGGGUGAAAUCCCAGGGCUCAACCCUGGAACUGCCUCCAAAACUAUCAGUCUAGAGUUCGAGAGAGGUGAGUGGAAUUCCAAGUGUAGAGGUGAAAUUCGUAGAUAUUUGGAGGAACACCAGUGGCGAAGGCGGCUCACUGGCUCGAUACUGACGCUGAGGUACGAAAGUGUGGGGAGCAAACAGGAUUAGAUACCCUGGUAGUCCACACCGUAAACGAUGAAUGCCAGUCGUCGGGCAGUAUACUGUUCGGUGACACACCUAACGGAUUAAGCAUUCCGCCUGGGGAGUACGGUCGCAAGAUUAAACU
RNAcentral lists this ribosomal RNA (529 nucleotides) under uncultured Alphaproteobacteria bacterium. Its description in RNAcentral is "bacterial SSU rRNA". It matches the Rfam family "Bacterial small subunit ribosomal RNA", at positions 353 to 901 of the family's 1533-position model. The record is from RNAcentral. Lineage: Bacteria; Pseudomonadati; Pseudomonadota; Alphaproteobacteria.